AGCGAACGCUGGCGGCAGGCUUAACACAUGCAAGUCGAGCGGGCAUCCUUGUGGUGUCAGCGGCAGACGGGUGAGUAACGCGUGGGAACGUGCCCUUCGGUUCGGAAUAACCCAGGGAAACUUGAGCUAAUACCGGAUACGUGCGAGAGCAGAAAGGUUUAUCUGCCGAAGGAUCGGCCCGCGUCUGAUUAGCUAGUUGGUGAGGUUAUGGCUCACCAAGGCGACGAUCAGUAGCUGGUCUGAGAGGAUGAUCAGCCACACUGGGACUGAGACACGGCCCAGACUCCUACGGGAGGCAGCAGUGGGGAAUAUUGGACAAUGGGGGCAACCCUGAGCCAGCCAUGCCGCGUGAGUGAUGACGGCCUUAGGGUUGUAAAGCUCUUUUCUCCGGGACGAUAAUGACGGUACCGGAGGAAUAAGCCCCGGCUAACUUCGUG
Molecule: ribosomal RNA, 437 nt
Filed under: uncultured bacterium
Lineage: Bacteria
Description: partial 16S ribosomal RNA
Rfam family: Bacterial small subunit ribosomal RNA
Source: RNAcentral